This is a non-coding RNA of Hordeum vulgare subsp. vulgare (domesticated barley), 124 nucleotides long. NCBI's taxonomy places the organism in Eukaryota, Viridiplantae, Streptophyta, Magnoliopsida, Poales, Poaceae. The record is from Rfam.
AUCAUACUCCCUCCGUCCGGAAAUACUUGUCCUGGAAGUAGAUGUAUCUAGACUAAUUUUAGUUAUAGAUACAUCCAUUUUGUACAUUUCCAGGACAAGUAUUUCCGGACGGAGGGAGUACAUG